RNAcentral lists this ribosomal RNA (439 nucleotides) under uncultured bacterium. Its description in RNAcentral is "partial 16S ribosomal RNA". It matches the Rfam family "Bacterial small subunit ribosomal RNA", at positions 339 to 795 of the family's 1533-position model. The record is from RNAcentral.
CUACGGGUGGCUCCAGUGAGGAAUAUUGCACAAUGGAGGAAACUCUGAUGCAGCAACGCCGCGUGGAGGAUGACGCAUUUCGGUGUGUAAACUCCUUUUAUAUGUCAAGAAAAUGACGGUAGCAUAUGAAUAAGCACCGGCUAACUCCGUGCCAGCAGCCGCGGUAAUACGGAGGGUGCAAGCGUUACUCGGAAUCACUGGGCGUAAAGGACGCGUAGGCGGGUUGGAAAGUCAGGUGUGAAAUCCUACAGCUUAACUGUAGAACUGCACUUGAAACUUCUAAUCUAGAGUAUGGGAGGGGGAGAUGGAAUUAGUGGUGUAGGGGUAAAAUCCGUAGAUAUCACUAGGAAUACCUAAAGCGAAGGCGAUCUCCUGGAACAUUACUGACGCUAAGGCGUGAAAGCGUGGGGAGCAAACAGGAUUAGAUACCCUCGUAGUC